Molecule: ribosomal RNA, 253 nt
Filed under: uncultured bacterium
Lineage: Bacteria
Description: partial 16S ribosomal RNA
Rfam family: Bacterial small subunit ribosomal RNA
Source: RNAcentral
UACAGAGGCCUCGAGCGUUGCGCGGAAUCACUGGGCUUAAAGGGUGCGUAGGCGGAUGUGCAAGUGCCUUGUGAAAUCCCCGGGCUCAACCCGGGAACUGCUUGGUAGACUGCAUGUCUUGAGGUCGGUAGGGGUUGCUGGAACAGUUGGUGGAGCGGUGAAAUGCGUAGAUAUCAACUGGAACGCCAAAGGCGAAGGCAAGCAACUGGGCCGAUUCUGACGCUGAGGCACGAAAGCGUGGGGAGCAAACGGG